GUGGGGAAUAUUGGACAAUGGGCGCAAGCCUGAUCCAGCAAUGCCGCGUGGGUGAAGAAGGUCUUCGGAUCGUAAAGCCCUUUCGACAGGGACGAUGAUGACGGUACCUGUAGAAGAAGCCCCGGCUAACUUCGUGCCAGCAGCCGCGGUAAUACGAAGGGGGCUAGCGUUACUCGGAAUUACUGGGCGUAAAGGGCGCGUAGGCGGCUCUGUUAGUCAGGCGUGAAAUUCCUGGGCUUAACCUGGGGACUGCGCUUGAUACUGCAGGGCUUGAGGCCGAGAGAGGGUGGUGGAAUUCUCAGUGUAGAGGUGAAAUUCGUAGAUAUUGGGAAGAACACCGGUGGCGAAGGCGACCACCUGGCUCGGUUCUGACGCUGAGGCGCGACAGCGUGGGGAGCAAACAGGAUUAGAUACCCGGGUAGUCC
RNAcentral lists this ribosomal RNA (425 nucleotides) under uncultured bacterium. Its description in RNAcentral is "partial 16S ribosomal RNA". It matches the Rfam family "Bacterial small subunit ribosomal RNA", at positions 354 to 796 of the family's 1533-position model. The record is from RNAcentral.